GAGGAGAGUGAGCCUCGGGUGAACAAAGGGAAGCUUCACGCGUUCGGCUGCGGUGGUUUCGUGGUGGAGAGCAGGAAGGGGACCGGUGACUUGCAUCUGCCUCCUGGCUACUGGAAAAUGUGCAUCCAUGAAACAGAUCACCAAAGGAGAAUAAUGGAAGGAAUUUCCAGUGUGGUCAGCUGUAUAGCUCACAUUAGAGUGGGAAGAUAGAAAACUUGGGUUCGACAGACAAAGAGAGGAGGCUGUUUUACUUGAGCCUCAGGAGAACAGAGUCCAUCAGAGGAAGUUGAAGCCACAACAGACCUGACUGGUGAGAGCUGGUGCAACUGACAAGAGUCACUCAGAGGCUGGAGCAGAUAAUGAAAGAGCUAAAUAUCCCGGCUUUUUCCUUUCUCUCAUGUUCUGAACUGCCUCCAGUUCCUUUCAUUGACUGAACCAAGUUGCCAGCUAACUUGAAGAAGAUGCAACCUGUGGGGCUUAUCCCUGCUGCAAUACUGAGCAAAGAAGGUAAAAGUGGCCUGCUGGUUCUUCAAAGUUUUGUCUUCGACAAGCUUUUCAUUCCAUGUGAUCAAAGGAGAGGGAUUGUGGGGUGGAAGAGAUUCAGACUUUAAAAAACAAAUGACCUCAACAUACAUGUGUUUCAGAUGAUGUAGCUACAGGAAGAGAGGAGCCUGCAUCUCUAAAUAGCUAUUUGGAGAAGACCUGCCCUGGAGAAUCACCGGACUCCACUGGAAUAUAAUAUGUUUCAGAAAUAAACCUUCUUGUAUUCAACUACUAAGAUGUUUACAUAGCUAAUUACAACAGUUUUAAUUACUCUGAUUAAUGCAAAGAUAAAGUAAAUAUUUUAUACAAUUUUUCUUAAGUUAAAACAACAUGUAAGUACUGAUAUUUUAAUAUACAUUAAUCUUGAGACAGCUGUUUCAAGAUGCCCCUUGCAACCAUUUCUUACAUGAAGGUAUGAUUCAUUUGUUUGAAGGACCAUCUCAAUAUAUCUUGGGCUAUCACCAUCCCACAGAAAAGCAGUACAUCCACACUAGUAAGACCUGAUAAAAAAUACUACUUCUGUAAUGGCCUUCCUGGAAGGGACUUGAAAUAUAGGUCCAGAUUCACUGUGGGACAAAAUGACACAGCAUGACAUGUUGAGGGAACUACACAAGCAAAGAUAAAAAGAUGAAUACUUGGAGACAAUAAAGGAACUACACUUCAUCAACACAUUUCUCCAGGAAAGUCCUGGGAAGAAAAUUUAGAUUAAUAGAUUAUAGGCACUUCAUGGAGGACCUUGAGUAUUUGAAUAUGGAAUGAAAAUUAGUAGACAGUGGGAAAUCAAAAUAUUUUUGGACAAGGUGGUGUUAUGAUAGCUGUGCUUUGGAAAAUUAAUUUGUCAAUUGAAUUGAUUGCAUAAGGAGAGGGUAAAAUGUUGAGACAGAGUGGGAUGUUAUUGCAAUUAUUUAGGCAAGAAUUAAUGAGGAAACUGGAAAUUAAAUAAUGAAUUAAUGUAAUAUUGAGGAAAUAAAAUUCAUAGUGUUUGAUAACUGAGUGUCUGUUGAAGGCAUUAGAUAUAAAAAGUGAAAGAGUAUCAAACUUUUUUCCUUAAAAAAAUCAAGUAGUUUGGAGAGAAAAUAUUCUGAGUACACUUCUUAAUAUACUGACUUCCAUAAAGAUGAAUUAAAAUCUAUCUUAGAUACAAUAAAAAAAAAUUCCCAGUACAGUUCAUGCAUUAAAUGUUUUAAAAAG
Long non-coding RNA from Choloepus didactylus (southern two-toed sloth), 1734 nucleotides. RefSeq lists it as uncharacterized. Lineage: Eukaryota; Metazoa; Chordata; Mammalia; Pilosa; Megalonychidae. The transcript is spliced from 5 exons. The record is from RefSeq and is a predicted model, not a curated record.